AUUGAACGCUGGCGGCAUGCCUUACACAUGCAAGUCGAACGGCAGCAUGAUCUAGCUUGCUAGAUUGAUGGCGAGUGGCGAACGGGUGAGUAAUACAUCGGAACGUGCCCUGUAGUGGGGGAUAACUAGUCGAAAGAUUAGCUAAUACCGCAUACGACCUGAGGGUGAAAGUGGGGGACCGCAAGGCCUCAUGCUAUAGGAGCGGCCGAUGUCUGAUUAGCUAGUUGGUGAGGUAAAGGCUCACCAAGGCGACGAUCAGUAGCUGGUCUGAGAGGACGAUCAGCCACACUGGGACUGAGACACGGCCCAGACUCCUACGGGAGGCAGCAGUGGGGAAUUUUGGACAAUGGGCGGAAGCCUGAUCCAGCAAUGCCGCGUGUGUGAAGAAGGCCUUCGGGUUGUAAAGCACUUUUGUCCGGAAAGAAAUGGCUCUGGUUAAUACCUGGGGUCGAUGACGGUACCGGAAGAAUAAGGACCGGCUAACUACGUG
RNAcentral lists this ribosomal RNA (490 nucleotides) under uncultured bacterium. Its description in RNAcentral is "partial 16S ribosomal RNA". It matches the Rfam family "Bacterial small subunit ribosomal RNA", at positions 30 to 507 of the family's 1533-position model. The record is from RNAcentral.